RNAcentral lists this ribosomal RNA (649 nucleotides) under Solidesulfovibrio carbinoliphilus. RNAcentral's name for it is "bacterial SSU rRNA". It matches the Rfam family "Bacterial small subunit ribosomal RNA", at positions 53 to 687 of the family's 1533-position model. Lineage: Bacteria; Pseudomonadati; Thermodesulfobacteriota; Desulfovibrionia; Desulfovibrionales; Desulfovibrionaceae. The record is from RNAcentral.
ACAUGCAAGUCGAGCGGUACAUUUCAAAAGCUUGCUUUUGAAGUAUGCACGAGCGGCGGACGGGUGAGUAAUGCCUGGAGAAUUUGCCCAUUUGUGGGGGAUAACAGUUGGAAACGACUGCUAAUACCGCAUACGCCCUACAGGGGAAAGCAGGGGACCUUCGGGCCUUGCGCUGAUGGAUAAGCCCAGGUGGGAUUAGCUAGUAGGUGAGGUAAAGGCUCACCUAGGCGACUAUCCCUAUCUGGUCUGAGAGGAUGAUCAGCCACACUGGGACUGAGACACGGCCCACACUCCUACGGGAGGCAGCAGUGGGGAAUAUUGCACAAUGGGGGAAACCCUGAUGCACCCAUGCCGCGUGUGUGAAGAAGGCCUUCGGGUUGUAAAGCACUUUCAGCGAGGAAGAAAGGGUGUAAGUUAAUACCUUACAUCUGUGACGUUACUCGCAGAAGAAGCACCGGCUAACUCCGUGCCAGCAGCCGCGGUAAUACGGAGGGUGCGAGCGUUAAUCGGAAUUACUGGGCGUAAAGCGUGCGCACGCGGUUUGUUAAGCGAGAUGUGAAAGCCCCGGGCUCAACCUGGGAACCGCAUUUCAAACUGGCAAACUAGAGUCUUGUAGAGGGGGGUAGAAUUCCAGGUGUAGCGGUGAAAU